GAUCAUGGCUCAGGACGAACGCUGGCGGCGUGCCUAACACAUGCAAGUCGAGCGGGGAACGGAUGGUAGCUUGCUACUGUUUGUUUCUAGCGGCGGACGGGUGAGUAACGCGUGAGCAACCUGCCUUUAUCAGGGGGGAUAACGCAUCGAAAGAUGUGCUAAUACCGCGUAAGACCACAGCUUCACAUGGGGCGGGGGUCAAAGGAGCAAUCCGGAUAAAGAUGGGCUCGCGUCCGAUUAG
Molecule: ribosomal RNA, 241 nt
Filed under: uncultured bacterium
Lineage: Bacteria
Description: partial 16S ribosomal RNA
Rfam family: Bacterial small subunit ribosomal RNA
Source: RNAcentral